Tachyglossus aculeatus (Australian echidna) is the source of this 3495-nucleotide long non-coding RNA. RefSeq lists it as uncharacterized. The record is from RefSeq and is a predicted model, not a curated record. The transcript is spliced from 3 exons. Lineage: Eukaryota; Metazoa; Chordata; Mammalia; Monotremata; Tachyglossidae.
CGGACGCUCACAUGCUAACUGCAGCGGCAGAAAGGGAAGGCGGAGGAAUCCAGCCUAUACCUGCAUCUUCAAGGCAGCUGCACUCAGCCAAGGGGAGGGCGAGGAGGGCCCGGUGGCAAGAUUGUGGAAGACACCAAAGGAUUUGACCAAAACUCAGAAACUCCAAAUGGCUUGGAUUUCCCCGAGUGAAGCGACUUGGAAGAGGGAGGACAAAGAUGAGGAAAAUGGAAGGCUGGAUCAAGCUGCAGCAGCCUAUUGGGCAAGAGAUGGAUAAAGGGAAACUCUUUUAAACCCGAGGCAACACCCCCAGAAGCUUGUGAGAGUUCCACCCCAGGCCUUUAUGGCCAGGAAGGUGGAGGGAGAAAGAAAGCAAGAUUUGAGAUCAAAAUGGAGAGAAACUCACAUUCUCCCCCAAAUCCCUCUAGAACCACAUAGGAAAUCCACCUCCAUUAAUUUACAUCAAGGGAAAAGAGGAAAGUGUUGUCUGGAAAUAUCUAGUGUGGCGUCCAAAUAAAAAAAAACAAACCCACUCCAAUUUUUGUGUCCCAGCUCUUGGAGAGGUUGAUUGGCUUUCAUGCCAAAUAUCCUGCUGAAUUUUCUUCGGGUCUUCAAGACCUGGUUACUUUUUUUCCAUUUAAUUCUUCACAGCCUGUGUUCCUGAGAGGGCCGAGGGGGAAAAGGAGAGAUUGGCUUCAUGCCACAUAGCCUGCCUGGAUUUUCACUGCAGGUUUUCACAGCCUGUUUAAUUCUCCCAUUUAGUUCUCUCCUUUAGAUCUUCAGGCCUGGUUAAUUGCCUCCUUCAGGUCUUUAUGGCCUGUGUUCUCCAGCGGGCAGAAAGAGAAUUUGAAUGGUAAAUGGGAUAUUUGACUUGAGCCGUGUAUCCUUGGAGAACUUUCACUGCAGGUCUUCAAGGCCUGUUGAAUGCUCCCACUGCCCUUCGGGUCUUCAUGGCCUGAUUGUGUUUCCACUGCAGGCCCUUACCACAUGCGUACUUGAAAGCCAAGAGAAUAUCUGAGAGAGAAAAGUAGGGGCUUCUUGCCAUUUGACACGUUUGAACUUCCAUGGUGGGUCUUCAAGGCUUGUUUAAUUCUCUCAUUUAAUUAUCUCCUUUUGGGUCUUCACAGCCUGCAAAUUCUCUCCUUCAGGUCUUCAAGGCCUGGGUCCUCAGAAAGCAAAGAGAACAUUUGAGGGGGAAGAGGUGGUCUUCAUGGCCUGUUCGGUCCUCCUAUUUAAUGAUCUCCUGUUGAGUCUUCACAGCCUGCUCAGUACCCCCAGUUAUUCCCUCCUGCAGGUCUUUACGGCCUGAGUAUUUAAAAACAACAUGUGAUGGUUAGAAGGAGAGAGGGACUUCAGCUCCAUAUAUAUUGUUUGAAGUUCCGCUUCGAGUCUUCAAGACCUGUUUAAUUCUCUCAGUCAGGUCUUCAUGGCCUGUUGAAUUCUCCCUUACGGGUCUUCACGGCCUGUGUACUCAAAAGUAGAGAAGGACAUUUGAGGGGGAAAAGGAGAAAUUGGCUUCAUGCCAUUUAUCUUCUUGGAAAACCCACUACAGGUCUUCAAGACCAGUUUAUUUCUCCCAUUGAAUACUUUCCUUCAGGUCCUCGUGGCCUGGGUACUAGAAGCCCCAAGAACAGAGGAGAGGAAAAAGGAAAGAUUGACUUCAUGUCUUUCAUCCCGUUGGAACAUCUCCAAGGCCUGGUUAAAUCUCCCAUUGAAUGAAUUAUCCCCUGUUUGGGUCUUCAGGGCCCUUUUAGUUAAUCUCUUUAAUUCUCUGCUUCAGGUCUUCAUGGCCUGUGUGGUCAAAAGCAGAGGGAACAUUUGAGGGGGAAAAGGGAGAAUUGGCUUCAUGCCAUUAUCGUGUCUGAAUUUCUUCACGGCCAGUUUACUUCUCCCAUUCAAUUCUCUCCUUCGGGCCUUCAGGGCUUGUUUCAUUCAACAUGUUUAUUCCCCCAUGCAGGUCUUCAAGGCCUGUUUAAUCCUCUCCUUCAGGUCUUUAUGACCUGCGUUCUCCAGAGAACAGAGAGAAUAUUUGAUGGGCAAAGGAGAGAUUUGACUUAAAAGCCAUGUAUCCUCUAUGAAUUUCCACUGCAGGUCUUCAAGGCCUGUUUAGCUCUCCCACUGUCCUCCGAGUCUUCAUGGCCCGUUUGUCUUUCCAUUGCAGGUCUUCACCGCCUGCGUACUCAAAGGCAAAGAGAGUAUUUGAGGGGGAAAAGGAGAGAUGGGCUUCAUGCCCUUCAUACCGUUGGAAUUUCUGUGGCAAGUCUUCAAGACUUGUUGAAGUGUCUCAUUUAAUUCUCUCCCUUCAGGUCUUCAUGGCCUGCGUAAUGCUCUCUGUCAGGUCUUCACGGGCUGUGUACCCAAAAGCAGAGAGACCAUCUGAGGUGGAAAAGGAGAGAUUGGCUUCAUGCCAUUUAUCUUCUUGGAAAACCCACUACAGGUCUUCAAGGCCAGUUUAUUUCUCCCAUCGAAUUCUUUCCUUCAGGUCCUCGUGGCCUGGGUACUAGAAGCCCCAAGAACAGAGGAGAGGAAAAAGGAAAGAUUGACUUCAUGUCUUUCAUCCUGUUGGAACAUCUCCAAGGCCUGGUUAAAUCUCCCAUUGAAUGAAUUAUCCCCCGUUUGGGUCUUCAGGGCCUUUUUAGUUAAUCUCUUUAAUUCUCUGCUUCAGGUCUUCACGGCCUGUGUGGUCAAAAGCAGAGGGAACAUUUGAGGGGGAAAAGGGAGAAUUGGCUUCAUGCCAUUAUCGUGUCUGAAUUUCUUCACGGCCAGUUUUCUUCUCCCAUUCAAUUCUCUCCUUCAGGUCUUCAGGGCUUGUUUCAUUCCACACGUUUAUUCCCCCCUGCAGGUCUUCAAGGCCUGUUUAAUCCUCUCCUUCAGGUCUUUAUGACCUGCAUUCUCCAGAGAAGAGAGAGAAUAUCUGAUGGGCAAAGGAGAAAUUUGACAUAUGCCAUGUAUCCUCUAUGAAUUUCCACUGCAGGUCUUCAAGGCCUGUUUAAUUCUCCCACUUUCCUCCGGGUCUUCAUGGCCCGUUUGUCUUUCCACUGCAGGUCUUCACCGCCUGCGUACUCAAAGGCAAAGAGAGUAUUUGAGGGGGAAAAGGAGAGACGGGCUUCAUGCCCUUCAUGCCGUUGGAAUUUCUGUGGCAAGUCUUCAAGACUUGUUGAAGUCUCUCAUUUAAUUCUCUCCCUUCAGGUCUUCAUGGCCUGCGUAAUGCUCUCCGUCAGCUCUUCACGGGCUGUGUACCCAAAAGCAGAGAGACCGUCUGAGGUGGAAAAGGAGAGAUUGGCUUCAUGCCAUUUAUCUUCUUGGAAAACCCACUACAGGUCUUCAAGGCCAGUUUAUUUCUCCCACUGAAUUCUUUCCUUCAGGUCCUCGUGGCCUGGGUACUAGAAGCCCCAAGAACAGAGGAGAGGAAAAAGGAAAGAUUGACUUCAUGUCUCUCAUCCUGUUGGAACAUCUCCAAGGCCUGGUUAAAUCUCCCAUUGAAUGAAUUAUCCCCUG